CCGAGUUAUUCUACUCCCAAACCCCUGUGAACUUAUACCUUUACUGUUGCUUCGGCGGGCGCCUGGUUCCGGCGGGGGACCCAAACUCUUGUAUCUUUUUUAUAGCAUGUCUGAGUGGAAUCAUAAACAAAUGAAUCA
This 138-nucleotide unclassified non-coding RNA is filed under the name uncultured Metapochonia. Its description in RNAcentral is "sequence contains ITS1". Lineage: Eukaryota; Fungi; Ascomycota; Sordariomycetes; Hypocreales; Clavicipitaceae. The record is from RNAcentral.